GAAUUCUUAGUAUAAGUUAGUAUGUUUGAUUUCCAAUCAAGGGGUUUUGGAAUUU
Molecule: transfer RNA, 55 nt
Filed under: Zoniolaimus dendrolagi
Lineage: Eukaryota; Metazoa; Nematoda; Chromadorea; Rhabditida; Strongylidae
Description: tRNA-Gly
Source: RNAcentral